This 420-nucleotide long non-coding RNA is filed under the name Equus asinus (donkey). RNAcentral's name for it is "lncRNA (ENSEASG00005027490.1)". Lineage: Eukaryota; Metazoa; Chordata; Mammalia; Perissodactyla; Equidae. The record is from RNAcentral.
AGGUCACAUCACUUCCCUGGGAUUUGGUUUCCUCAUCAGUAAUGGGAGCUGGUUGAAUUAGCUGAUCUCUCUUCCUUUCCAGAUUAAUAGUCUAUUUUGGUGCAUCUGGGAUGUGUGUUGUGGAAACAAAUUCACAAGCUGGAAUCCAGGAGGACUUCAGAAUGGAGAUAAUGAUAUAGUGCCACAUAAAACUAUCCCGGCAAUUGCCAAUGACAUCACCUCUGUCUGUAAAACAGGAAGGGCGGGUGGAUGUUAACAUAGCCCAUGUCUGGAACAACAUAACAUUGGCUCAGAAAGCUGUGGUAUGAAUGACAUGUGGAUCAACAGGAAAAACUACCCAGGAAACCCCUUGAAAUGAGGCUGGUCCUGACAGAUCAGGGACCAGCCACAGGUGCUGCAAAGCUUCCGCCGGCUCCUGUC